This 1552-nucleotide long non-coding RNA is filed under the name Ananas comosus (pineapple). Its description in RNAcentral is "long non-coding RNA (ACOM_LNC018361)". Lineage: Eukaryota; Viridiplantae; Streptophyta; Magnoliopsida; Poales; Bromeliaceae. The record is from RNAcentral.
UAAGUAACAUCUUGAUGAGAAAGACCUAUUGAACUACUGAUAAGAUUUGUAGAAUCUAAUUAUUAAUUGUUGGGAGUUUAGCUAGAAUACUAUCGAUAGCAAACGAGUUCCAUUGUCACCCAUUUAUUUUAGAUAAUAGAACUUUCAAAUCGACGGUUGGUACAGUUGAACAUGAUCUGUAUCAAUUGAAGUGCUUAGAAAUCAAAUUUUAAAUCUUUUCGAUAUCAUUUGCCUAAUGAUCAAAGGGUUUCAAUUUUUUUUUUUUUUUUGAGAGAUAGGUAGCACGCUACCUGCUUCAUUUAUUUCAUUUAAAAAUAAACUUAGUUAGAAAUGUGAAUCAAUUAGGAUUCGAACUUGGGACCUCGGGUACUAACUGCCAACCACCAAGCUCUUUGCCACUUGGCGUUUUCUCGUUUAACGACGUAAAGAUAUCCAAACCAAUUGAUUUUUUGUUAGAAAAUUCUUUAAACAAUAUAAAAUAAGAUCUAUACUCUUGAUCUUGAUUACAAGACUCCUAUCAUCAUUUUUUUAAAAAAAAUAUUUAUUUUCAGUCGUUCAUUUUUGUGUUCGCUCAAUGGAUAAGAGAACAAUAUCGAAAAUGUAUGAAAUUUGAUUUCUAAACACUUCAAAUGAUAUAGAUUAUAUUCAAUAGUACCGAUUGUCGAUUUGGAGAUUCCAUCAUCGAAAAUAAAUCGGUGACAACGGAGUCCGUUUUCUAUCGAUUAUUCUAGCUCAACUCUAAUUGUUGGUAUUUGAGAUCCUAAAUUUUAUGUAAAAUUGAAAAAUAAUAAUCUUUUAUAAAAAAAGUUUAGUAGUAGUAGAAAAUUAAGUUUACAGUGUCUAACAUUUGGCUUGAAUAUGGUGGAAAUAAUUUAGCUUCGGUACGUGCUUUGUUUGGUUGAUUGAAAAGGUGGAUAAAAUUUUUUGUAUAAAAUAAUAUUAGAUAUUUUUAUAUUAGCUAGGUUGUAUAAAUAUUAAAAUUUGUUAUUAUUUCUCUUUUAUCAGAAGUUUACCUAUAAAAUAUAUUAUACUGUAUUUAUAUAUUAUAUGUAUAACAUAAUAUAAUAUAAUAUUUUAGGGAUAAUUUUAUAGAGCUUCCAAUAAACAUAUCGGAUAGAAGAUAUAUUCGUACAAAGUUAAAGUUUUUAAAUUUAUCCUUUCAAAGUCUAAUGAUGUUCAUAUUUACCCAUUUGACUUGUUACAGUUGACUCAGUGUUUAUUUUUUUAACAGAAUAUAAGUAAAAUAUCAAUUUUGCCAUCACAACUAUAUCCCUUCAAAAACCCCAACCGUUAGAAUCAUACAGAAAUGCCCUCCAAAAAUAUGUAAUGGUCAUCUUCUUUUUUUUAUAAAAGCUAACUCAACUCACUCAUUUUCUUCUUUAACUAUCUAAUAUUAAUUCCUCAGCGUUCAACAUGGGGCAAAGCAAUACAUGUCGUGAAUGAAUGGGGAUAGAGAAAUUCUAGUUAUAGAUUCAAAACUAGUUUCAUUGUUUUGAUUGAAAGAAAAAAAAUAUAAUCUCAAAAAGAGUUAAAAAAUUAAUUUACCUCACUU